CUCCUGAAGGAACGUUAAAGACGAUGACGUUGAUAGGCCGGGUGUGUAAGCGCAGCGAUGCGUUGAGCUAACCGGUACUAAUGAACCGUGAGGCUUAACCUU
RNAcentral lists this ribosomal RNA (102 nucleotides) under Klebsiella pneumoniae. RNAcentral describes it as "partial 23S ribosomal RNA". It matches the Rfam family "Bacterial large subunit ribosomal RNA", at positions 2824 to 2925 of the family's 2925-position model. Lineage: Bacteria; Pseudomonadati; Pseudomonadota; Gammaproteobacteria; Enterobacterales; Enterobacteriaceae. RNAcentral also lists the same sequence under 4 other names. The record is from RNAcentral.